This 441-nucleotide ribosomal RNA is filed under the name uncultured bacterium. RNAcentral's name for it is "SSU rRNA". It matches the Rfam family "Bacterial small subunit ribosomal RNA", at positions 26 to 518 of the family's 1533-position model. The record is from RNAcentral.
AGAACGAACGCUGGCGGCAGGCCUAACACAUGCAAGUCGAACGCUGUAGCAAUACAGAGUGGCAGACGGGUGAGUAACGCGUGGGAACCUUCCCAGUGGUGCGGAAUAGCUCAGGGAAACUUGAGGUAAUACCGCAUAAGCCCUUAGGGGGAAAGAUUUAUCGCCAUUGGAUGGGCCCGCGUCGGAUUAGCUAGUUGGUGAGGUAAUGGCUCACCAAGGCAACGAUCCGUAGCUGGUUUGAGAGAAUGACCAGCCACACUGGGACUGAGACACGGCCCAGACUCCUACGGGAGGCAGCAGUGGGAAUCUUGGACAAUGGGCGCAAGCCUGAUCCAGCCAUGCCGCGUGAGUGACGAAGGCCUUAGGUUGUAAAGCUCUUUUGCCGGGACGAUAAUGACGGUACCGGAGAAUAAGUCCCGGCUAACUCGUGCCAGCAGCCGC